ACUGCUGGUGAAAUACCGUAUUAACAAGUUCAGACGAGAAAACUUGUGUUGCUUUCCCUCUCAAUUUUCAUUGUCAAGUUUCACUGACGAAUCUCGUUGUUGGUUUCCCGCAGUGAGGUCCAUCAUCCUAUCCCCCCUUUGACAACUGCCGCUAGAGUGAGCCUCUCGCGAAUCCCCCCACCCCGCCUUCCCUCUCCACUGGCCAGCCGCCGGGCCGCCGCCGGCUGCGGAACGGAGCGUCAGAUCGGGAACAGCUGAGAUGAGCUACUCGUCGGUUAAGCUCCCGGCCCAGCUGGUCGCCCUCUCAACCUCGUGCUUCGCGAUUCGUCGGCCGUGCAACUCGUCAUGCUGCCUGUCCGUCUUCAGGUUGGACCAAAUGCGCCGCGCUCCCCGUCCCCAACAACUCUGUCUGGCUCUUGGUCCUCGCCCCGCCGCCGUGUCCGGCCCGCGCGCCGUUCCGCCGCGCGCUCACCCGGCUGUCGUCGCCGAGCUGGAGUUCGAGCCCGUCACCCGCGCCAUCCGUGUCAUCCGCGUCACCCGCGUAUGGGCCUUCUCGUCGUCGCUGCAGCGCCCCCUUCCUCCCCUCCCACCCCGCCGGGCCCGCCGCCGGGCCCGCCGCCGGGCCUGGCCCAUUCGACGAAGUGCAAGAAGAGAAGUGCAGUGUCAAGUGCAUCGUGGCCAAAUAAGUGAAAGUCGACUGCAGUGUGUGCAUGUGGGCCGUGAAGUGUAGUGUUCAAGUGUCCUCAAGCUCCCUUUGCCUCCGUUCCACUGGUUCCACUCGCCGUCGCUGCUGCUGCGCGCCGGACCGGGGCUGGCUGUCGACUCAUGGUAGGGUAGACGACCGUACUUUGUUUUGCUCAGAUAGGAACAUUAUAGUAGAUUUUGACUUCAGAGCGCAACGGUGGACAGUGCUCUUGCGCUCAUCGCCGUGGUCUGGUUGGCACGGUCAGGCAGGGGGGCGGGGCAGAUUUUUGGAUGGGACGAUUAAAAUUGCACUCUCUGCGUUCUUCACAAUGAUACCUCGACACACAGUAACAUGAUAGAAAGUCCGACACCAGACACCAGUCGUGGCCGUAUUAGCCGAAAGUCGCGUAGCCGUGGGUAGUAUGGGGAGCCGCGUCAACAACCUCAUCUUUCUGCCGUUUAGUUAAAUAUUGCCGAUUAACGUUUAUAAUGUUUUGUUUGACGUUUUGGCCUUUUUAUGCGGAAGAGAUCAAAUGAUUUGAAGAUCCAAUUUCAGGUCAGUGAUCAAAUCGGCCCCUUUUUACUGUGUUGCGUUUGGCUUUGGUUUGUUUUUGUUCCCCCCUGAUUGAAGUUGUUGUCGGCAGGGUAUCAAUAGGCUAUUCCGCUCGACGCGGUAAGAAGAACACAAGAAGAUUCACAAAAGACGAGGGUGCGGGGAGCGCGGGGGGGGGGGAGCCGCCUCGCUACCCCUACCCUCGGCGUUUGUGAUGCUCAACACCACCGCCCUGCUCCUGCUCACCGUCACCACGCUCACCAUCGACCUGCUCUAGCUCAUCGUCGCCGUGCUCACCAUCGUCGCCCUGCCCAACACCACCGCUCUGCUCCUGCUCACCGUCCGCCCACUCAACGUCGACCCCAUCCAGCUCAUCGCCGCUCUGCUCACCAUCGCAGUCCUGCUCACCGCCGCCCUGUCGCCUGAUUCAGGAGAUCGUUCAAGAGGGGCUCUCCGAUACCUCCUGUAUAGCUCCGUCCUUGUUGCACUCAUGGGGCAGGUAGCCCCUCUUGAACGAUCUUCUGGAUCAGACGGCGGCCUAGCUCACCACCACCCAGCUCACCGUCGCCCUGCUCACCGCCGGCCUGCGCAUCCCCGCCAUGCUCCAGCUGGCACUCCGCGGGGGCAAUCAGAUUCUUGCCGCUGAGAAAGGUCCCAGCCGCCGCGCCUCGCCGCGACUCUGCUCCCCAGCCGACAACUGGACCUUCUGGCUGGAUGCUGCUGUGGCCGUGGUCGGCAGACCACAGGUACGUCCCUCAAGCCUUCCUUGUUGCACGUUUGGCCCGCUUGCAGUGGCCCCGGUCGUUCCCUGGCGCCGCCCCUCGACCGUUGGCUGGCGCGCCGCGCUGGGCCUGCCCUCGCUGGACCCGCGGGUCUCCCCCGUAGGCCCCCCUCCCCCCCGCGGGGCUGGCGAGUGGCAGCGCUCGGGGCAGUGCGUCGGCCGCGGCUGGCGGGCGUGUGUGAUACUUUGUGACCGGCGGACCACGAGGGCAAAGUGAUGGCGUACUCCAACCGCACGUAGGCACCGAACUAAUAACUUGUUCUAUUCCUCUUCCAUGCCGCUGCUGCUCUGGCCGUCGAGACCUCGGCCGUUCUGUUGCUGCACCAAGCUGCUCGACUAGGACGCUCCCCUGAGACCCCGAGCAGUGCGUCACCACGGCCUCGUCGCCGCCUUCUUGGUCGCCUACAAGCAGAGUCUCCGUGGAAGGCCCGCUGCAGCCGCCCGCCUCGCCGUGGACAGGCAGCCUGCCCGGACGUGCGCCGCGGAGCCACCGUUUCAGCUGCGGGAGAAGUGACUGUGGUUUGCUCCGUGACCAGAUGUUCGUUUCUCUAAUCGCUUUUCUUGUUCCAGGCGCGUUCCAGUUCCGGCCUCGUCAGCUAGUCUCCGCGGUCGGCGAAGGCCUCCAGGACCUCCAGGACCUCCAGGUACACCCCCACAGCCCUCCCUCGCCGUCCUCGUCGCCGACACUCCGCGGGGGAAGCAGAUUAUUGCUGCCGCCGAGAAUGAGAAGGUCCUAGCCCGAGCCGCCGCGCCCCGCCGCGACCCUGCCUUUUAGAGGGUCUUCUUGUGAGGCGCGCCUGGUCGGUGCUCUGCCCGCUGCAACUGCGCGCCCCGCCCCGCCUCGCCCCGCAGCCGGCGAGGACACCAAGACUCCACGACCCGCUGGGCCCCCGAUACCCAGUCUACUAUGAACGCUGCUGCCUUCAAUGUCAUCCCGAACAACCGGAGAAAGGGAGAGAAACCAGUGCGCAGCCCGUGUUGUGUGGAGGUGACUGUCACAAGGAUGAGAAGCAGAACUGGUGAGAGCGAGGGCCACAAGAGGCAGUAAGCAGAUGGCAUUUCUACAUUGCUGUUCCACCACUGGAUCAACAAGACAACAAGAACCAUAUAACUGGAUCAACAAGACAAGAACCAUUUAACUGUUUUCUUUUUAAUCACGACUGGACUCUCUCUUGACGGUGACUUCUUAUUCCUGCCUUGCUUUUCUUGCAUUGUAGUGGAGUUUGUUUAUGUGGUGUUAGUAAUGACAUUUCGUUUGGGUUUUGCAUGUUUGUGGUGUGCUUGUAAUUUUAUGUGGGGUGUAGGAAUUCUGUGUAAUCUCUUCCUCUCUAGCUUGACCAAACUUGACACUUUUCUGAAUAUCUGCACACACUUCUAUCAUGCGUCGUUUAAUCAUAGUAAAACUGUAAAAUCCCCUGCUGUAAUUGGUAUUUUUACACUGAAUAGCUUUCACUCUUACAUGAUUUGCUUGUAUGAUAUUGUUUUACCGGUGUUCAGCAUUUUUCAAAUCGAUUCUCAUUAUUCAGCAAUCAAUGUACCCAUCUUUUUCCCUAGUUUAAUUGCGUCAAUACUACUAUGUUCUGGUAUAACUGAUAUAUGCCCAAAUAAUUACUGUUCGACUUGGACCUUUGUCUUGUGUGAAAACAUGUGCCACUGUCUUGUCAGCCUGUUAGGCAUUAAUGUUUCCAUAAACUUAAAAAUAAAAACAAUUAUUUGAAGGUAGUGUAGUUUAGUGACCUCUAUAAUAAUAUUCAGAACUAUAUUGUUCAAGUCCAGUCCAUGGUCCAGUCAAGAGUCAGUCACACACCACUAUUACUCGCCAUCUAUCGGCAGACCCCAAACUUCGUCGCCACACAUUACGUUCUUCUUUAAGUUCUUCCUCAACCCCUUACGUUCUUUGUUCUGCCUUCCAAUACCCAAUAAAAGCAGGCGCCAGCUUUCACUCGGCGCCACACUGUGACCAGCGCGUGAUGUGAAUACAUCGCUCUUAAA
Long non-coding RNA from Frankliniella occidentalis (western flower thrips), 4010 nucleotides. RefSeq lists it as uncharacterized. Lineage: Eukaryota; Metazoa; Arthropoda; Insecta; Thysanoptera; Thripidae. The transcript has 6 exons. The record is from RefSeq and is a predicted model, not a curated record.